Molecule: long non-coding RNA, 1737 nt
Organism: Protobothrops mucrosquamatus (brown spotted pit viper)
Lineage: Eukaryota; Metazoa; Chordata; Lepidosauria; Squamata; Viperidae
Exons: 3
Source: RefSeq, a predicted model, not a curated record
CCCUCUGUGGCCACCGACGGAAGUAAUUUUGCGGGAGGAAGUUUGCAAUUUUAACUCCUGAAAACAUUGCUAGAAGUAUGAAUGUUUCUGAAACAUGGCUAUUCAGUGGUUCCUCAUUAGCAUCACAUGUUCAUGCUGCUGCUGUUAAUGGACAUAAAAGAGCUCUCCUAAAACAAAUAUCAGCUUAAUUAUAAUCUCAUACUGGAAAAAAUCUUUGAAGUUACGGAGCAAAUGAACUCUAGGAUGAAAACCAAAGAUGAUAUUCCAGAUCUACAAACUGAUCCCCAAAUUUUAACUGACAUACAAUUCAAUGAGAUGGAGGAACCUUACCCACAACUUAAUUAUAAACGUAUACUGGAAAAAACCCUUGAAGCCACUGAGCAACUGAACAUCAGAUCAAAGCCUUUGCUCCAAAACUUCAAACUGAUCUCCAGACUCCAAUUUACUAUUUUAUAACUCAAAAAACAACAGAAGAGGAACAAAUCUAUACCAAAGAGGACAUUACACAAUCCUGCGUACAAUUCACUGAGAAUUUUGACGACCAAAGAAUGACUUUAACUAAAACACCUUUAACUUCAAAAGCUACAGGAAUUGAUCUGCAAAUACGAGUUACCGAGAGUUGUGAUAAUUUGGAUAACCAACUAGCAAUCACAACAUUGGACAAAAUUGAUUAUGUUACUCAGAUGGCAGUGGAACUACGAGAAGAGAAACAUGACCAGACUGAAUUGAUGAUAAACACCUCUAAUCAAACAUUGAGAUUUGAUGAUAUAGAGGCUCUUUUAUGGAAACCUGCUUGGCACAAAAAGAAAGCCAGAGUCAGAUUUAAAAAUGGGAUUUAAAACUUUACUUAAUGGGUUAAAAGGGCUUUUUAGAGACAUUGACUGAUUUAAUACUAACUGAGAUGGAAAUUAUUGACUAGAUUAUACUUUGGAAUUGUAACAUGGAAAAGGUUUUAAAUAAGGAGUUAUUAGGAUAAGAAAUAAUAUAUAUAUAUCUGAAAUAUAGUAAGAAGAUACCCUUUGGAAUAACAUGUUUGUUUUAGGUAUGGUAACUACUCUGAUGGGAUUUAAAUUUUACUUAAUUGGCUAAAAAGGCUUUUUAAAGAUAUGGAGUGACUUAAUGUUUAGGAUCUAAACCUAUAACCGAGAUGAAAACUACUGGUUAGAUUAUAGUUUCGAAUUAUAAUAUGAAAAAGGUUUUAAAUGAAGAAUUAUUAGGAUAAGAAAUAGAAUAUAUUUGUGAAAUAGAGUAAGAAUGUAUUUUUUUGGAAUAAUACUGCUAUUUUCGGUAUGAUAAUUACUUUGUAAUGGAAUAAGAAUAAGAAAAUGGAUUGUGACAAUGGAAGACAUGGCAUUACUAAAUGAGUUAUUAGAAUAAGAAAUAGAAUAUAUUUGGGAAAGGUAAGAAUAUAACUGUUGGGAUAAUAUGCUUAUCUUAGACAUUAUAACCAUCAUGUUAUGAAACGAGGUAAAUUAGGGAUACCCGAAAUGUAAACAAUAUGUUUAUUUAAGGCUAAAUUAGAAUACAGUAAUUGGAAGUUAGUAAAGCUUAAAAACAGGAUUUGGACUUGUAUAGGUAAAAUAUUAUUGAUAAUACUCUUGAUUGAUUGAAGUUUAUUUAGAAAUGUAUUAAUUUGAAUAUGUUAUAUUAAUUGAGGAAAAUAGAGAGGGAACUUUUAAGGAGUUAACCUGACCUAUAUGUGUAUAACUUUGUUUUUUGCAUAACUGAUUACCCCAU